Molecule: ribosomal RNA, 253 nt
Filed under: uncultured bacterium
Lineage: Bacteria
Description: partial 16S ribosomal RNA
Rfam family: Bacterial small subunit ribosomal RNA
Source: RNAcentral
UACGGGGGGAGCAAACGUUGUUCGGAAUUACUGGGCGUAAAGGGCGCUCAGGCGGCUCAGUUAGUGGACUGUGAAAGCCCUUGGCUUAACCAGGGAACGGCAUUCCAUACUGCUGAGCUUGAGUAUAGGAGAGGAUGGGGGAAUUCCCGGUGUAGCGGUGGAAUGCAUUGAUAUCGGGAGGAACACCAGUGGCGAAGGCGCCCAUCUGGCCUAAUACUGACGCUAAAGCGCGAAAGCUAGGGGAGCAAACAGG